This 457-nucleotide long non-coding RNA is filed under the name Equus caballus (horse). Its description in RNAcentral is "lncRNA (ENSECAG00000051699.1)". The record is from RNAcentral. Lineage: Eukaryota; Metazoa; Chordata; Mammalia; Perissodactyla; Equidae.
AAAAGCCUGAACUUCUCAGUGGUAUGUGUGAGUAGACAGAAAGAAACACAAUUUGAUUGGAAGCUGGAGAAAAGUCUGUAAAACUGGAUGACUGAUUAACCGAGGAAGCUAUUGAUAAAGGGAGAAAUGAAGAUGACUUUUAGGACUUGUCACAUAUGUCUGACAGGGAAAAGAAGAGCAGAGUGGAUCCAAUGUAUUAACGCCCACUUUCCACCCUGGCUCUCGGAAGGUCAGACGCACUCAGGUCUCAGAAAAUUCUGCCCAACUUAUUUCAAGAUUACCCUGAUGCCAAAACUGGAUAAAGAAGUUACAAGAAAACCGCAGAUCAAUUGCCUUCAUGAAUAUAGAUGCAAAAAUUCUAUAAAACCUUCAUGGGCGUGGGAACAUUUAUCCACUUUAGAGUUGACUUGACUGCAUCCCAUUGACUUCAUACAAUACGAUAUGGCUGUGAUCCCAG